AUUGAUUUCGUUUUGCUGCAAAUUAGAAGUCUUAGUGACAAAAAUCAUUUACAUUACUGGUAAGUGGCGAGGAGAAAAAGUCAACUCGCUCACUAGGAUGCCCAGACUGUUCCCUAACUCAAACUUUAAGGAACCCUUGUGGGCUAAAAUUCGUGGAAGGAGACCCUUACUUAAAAUAUUUAAGGUUUCAUUCAUUGACCAGAGUUAAACAAAGACAUCGUCGUCCCUUCCAGAAAGUUCUUCAACCUUUGUUAAAAAUACCCAUGCGGUGCGACCUUUCUCCAAAAACCUAAAUAAGUCUCCACAAUUUCUUUUGCAUAAUUCCAUCCCUGGGGUUGUCCACCUAAAACGUCGUGAACACAGGAAUAAAUUAGCUCCGAAGUUUAACAAUUUAUGUAAAAACUGUAUGUUUCAUUCAAAUUACUUUAAUUUAUAAUCUAAUUUCUGUAUUUCUAAAUUUUGAAUUUUACAAAAUUAAAUAAUACCUUUCAUAAGUUACAGUAGAUUCUUAACAAUUGAAAGCUCAAACACCGAUUUACGAACGAGAAUUGCUGUCACCAUUAAUUUGCAUAAAUUUAUAAUGCCUUUGACAUAAUGUAGGUCAUCCAUUUCUAUAAAUAUUCACGCCAAUUUUCGUGAACUGAGUAAAUUUUGUCUCGUAUGAAUUUAUCCUGCAACGUUUUACCAAGUUUAUAAACAAGUCUCGUCGUAUCUGCACUGCCGAGAUGCUAAACCCGCUCUCGUUCUUUGUUAUAAAAAGCGUGGCUUAAAACGCAUUUCCAUUUUCAGCCCGAGGUCUCUUUCUCACGGACAGAAAUGAUUUCGUUCAGUGCGAAGGAGGCGGCCGAGUUGAUGCCAUCUCCAAAUUUUGGCUGGAGGCAUGGCCAGCCGACAUUUUUUUAAUUUGUUAAUUUCGUCGACUAACUAACUGUGGGAGGAGGUGGAAGUUAACAUAGUUUGAGUUAAGGAUUUUGUCGUAGUGGGAGGAGGUGGAGACCUGAUGAGACGUGAAUUUAAGGAAGUUUAAAGAAAAUGAUUUGUAGACCAAGAUGGGAUGGGGGUGAUGAAGUUGGUGGAGGCGAGGACGUGAUUUUUAAUCGGCUUUGAGUUUAGAUUCUGGAGACGGGAUUCUGCAACUCAACAAACAUGACCCAGCCUUCACAUUCUGACUUGGCCAAAUUAGUCUUCUCAUUUGAUAUUAAUUAUUCACCUGAUCCUGCGACGACUGCCGGCAUGUGUCAUCUUAGCAUCAACUUUUUAAAAUUAUACGUCGUUAAUUUAAAUUUAGUUGCUUCUCCGAGUGUCGGUACCCAUACAACUCUUUACCAUUACAUAAUAUCGAAUAGUUCUCUUGAAUUAGCUUUUGAAAUAGUGUUCCCUUCUAAACGAUCUGAGUUUAAUUUAGAAAAUCUUUCAUCAAGGUAUUGAUGAAAUUAGUUAAUGCACUAGUUAUGUACUAGUACUAUGUUGUGAAACACGUUUUAAUCUUUGGUCCACAAAUGUCAAACAAUAUUUUUAGCUAAUCAAAUACGUUUUAUUCUUUGGUCCACAAAUGUCAAACAAUAUUUUAGAAGAGGAAACUUUCAUCAAAGGUAUCGAUGAAAAUAGUUAGAUCUACGAUUUAAUCUUUGGUCCACAAAUGUCAAACAAUAUUUUAAAAGAACUUCAUCAUGGUGUCGAUGAAAUAAUUUAAUUUAUACGAUUUAGUCUUUGGUCCACAAAUGUCAAACAAUAUUUUUUAAAAUCUUUCAUCAUUGUAUCGAUGAAAUUAUAACAUAAAUCGCAUGUAUACGAUUUAAUCUUUGGUCCACAAAUGUCAAACAAUAUUUUAGAAAAUAAGUCGUUUUCAUCGAAUGUAUUGAUGAAAAAUUAAGUCAUACGAUUUAAUCUUUGGUCCACAAAUGUCAAACAAUAUUUUAAUGUAAAAUUUCAUGACUGCUUCGAUAAAAUUAUCAUUUUAAUCGAACGUAUGCGAAUCAAAUGCUGUUAUUUUAUGAAAAUAAAUGAAAUUAUGGAUUGUUAAGAACAAAAACAU
Long non-coding RNA from Folsomia candida, 2035 nucleotides. RefSeq lists it as uncharacterized. The transcript has 6 exons. NCBI's taxonomy places the organism in Eukaryota, Metazoa, Arthropoda, Collembola, Entomobryomorpha, Isotomidae. The record is from RefSeq and is a predicted model, not a curated record.